RNAcentral lists this unclassified non-coding RNA (200 nucleotides) under soil metagenome. RNAcentral's name for it is "partial contains internal transcribed spacer 2 and large subunit ribosomal RNA". The record is from RNAcentral.
AUGUGGGGGUUUGCAGGCUUCUGAAAAUGAAGUUGGCUCCCCUGAAAUGCAUUAGUGGUAUCUGAGCAGAGACUACUUACAGGUGUGAUAAUUAUCUAUCUAUGCCUCGGUAUGCUGCAUUGAACAGAUUGCACCGCUUAUAACAAGUGAAAUUUGACAAGUUUGACCUCAAAUCAGGUAGGACUACCCGCUGAACUUAA